AUUGAACGCUGGCGGCAUGCCUUACACAUGCAAGUCGAACGGCAGCACGGGAGCUUGCUCCUGGUGGCGAGUGGCGAACGGGUGAGUAAUACAUCGGAACGUACCCAGCAGUGGGGGAUAACGCACCGAAAGGUGCGCUAAUACCGCAUACGACCUACGGGUGAAAGCGGGGGACCGUAAGGCCUCGCGCUAUUGGAGCGGCCGAUGUCUGAUUAGCUAGUUGGUGAGGUAAAGGCUCACCAAGGCUUCGAUCAGUAGCUGGUCUGAGAGGACAGUCAGCCACACUGGGACUGGGACACGGCCCAGACUCCUACGGGAGGCAGCAGUGGGGAAUUUUGGACAAUGGGCGAAAGCCUGAUCCAGCAAUGCCGCGUGCGCGAAGAAGGCCUUCGGGUUGUAAAGCACUUUUGUCAGGGAAGAAAUCUUUUAGGCUAAUACCCUGGAAGGAUGACGGUACCUGAAGAAUAAGCACCGGCUAACUACGUGCCAGCCGCCGCCGUAA
RNAcentral lists this ribosomal RNA (502 nucleotides) under uncultured bacterium. RNAcentral's name for it is "partial 16S ribosomal RNA". It matches the Rfam family "Bacterial small subunit ribosomal RNA", at positions 30 to 523 of the family's 1533-position model. The record is from RNAcentral.